This 411-nucleotide ribosomal RNA is filed under the name Actinomycetes bacterium. Its description in RNAcentral is "Actinobacteria bacterium partial 16S ribosomal RNA". It matches the Rfam family "Bacterial small subunit ribosomal RNA", at positions 355 to 776 of the family's 1533-position model. The record is from RNAcentral. Lineage: Bacteria; Bacillati; Actinomycetota; Actinomycetes.
UGGGGAAUAUUGCACAAUGGGCGCAAGCCUGAUGCAGCGACGCCGCGUGGGGGAUGACGGCCUUCGGGUUGUAAACUCCUUUCGCUAGGGACGAAGCUUUUUGUGACGGUACCUAGAUAAGAAGCACCGGCUAACUACGUGCCAGCAGCCGCGGUAAUACGUAGGGUGCGAGCGUUGUCCGGAAUUACUGGGCGUAAAGGGCUCGUAGGUGGUUUGUCGCGUGGUCUGUGAAAUUCCGGGGCUUAACUCCGGGCGUGCAGGCGUUACGGGCAUAACUUGAAUACUGUAGGAGUAACUGGAAUUCCUGGUGUAGCGGUGAAAUGCGCAGAUAUCAGGAGGAACACCGAUGGCGAAGGCAGGUUACUGGGCAGUUACUGACGCUGAGGAGCGAAAGCAUGGGUAGCGAACAGG